GAUGAACGCUGGCGGCGUGCUUAACACAUGCAAGUCGAACGAUGAAGCCCAGCUUGCUGGGUGGAUUAGUGGCGAACGGGUGAGUAACACGUGAGUAACCUGCCCUUAACUCUGGGAUAAGCCUGGGAAACUGGGUCUAAUACCGGAUAGGAGCGUCCACCGCAUGGUGGGUGUUGGAAAGAUUUAUCGGUUUUGGAUGGACUCGCGGCCUAUCAGCUUGUUGGUGAGGUAAUGGCUCACCAAGGCGACGACGGGUAGCCGGCCUGAGAGGGUGACCGGCCACACUGGGACUGAGACACGGCCCAGAAUCCUACGGGAGGCAGCAGUGGGGAAUAUUGCACAAUGGGCGCAAGCCUGAUGCAGAGACGCCGCGUGAGGGAUGACGGCCUUCGGGUUGUAAACCUCUUUCAGUAGGGAAGAAGCGAAAGUGACGGUACCUGCAGAAGAAGCACCGGCUAACUACGUG
This 466-nucleotide ribosomal RNA is filed under the name uncultured bacterium. RNAcentral describes it as "partial 16S ribosomal RNA". It matches the Rfam family "Bacterial small subunit ribosomal RNA", at positions 28 to 507 of the family's 1533-position model. The record is from RNAcentral.